This is a long non-coding RNA of Solanum dulcamara, 561 nucleotides long. RefSeq lists it as uncharacterized. Lineage: Eukaryota; Viridiplantae; Streptophyta; Magnoliopsida; Solanales; Solanaceae. The transcript is spliced from 2 exons. The record is from RefSeq and is a predicted model, not a curated record.
CUAAGUUAGUUUAUUUUAUAACAAUUUGAACGUAUUACCCAAAUCCAAUCUCCUUCCCUUCCUCCUUCACAGUGUUGGUGCCUUAGCUAUCAAAAGUACUCUUCCCCAGCUCACUCUUGUACCUCUUCCUUCCAAAUGUGACUUUCUUGUUCCUUUUCUUUCUGGUACUGAAUGUUUGUGAUAUUAGCUGUGUAUUCCUUUUCCAUGGGAUGUAUCCUCUUUGUUUUGCUGAUGGAUCCUGUUUAAUAGCUUGAAACUUCUUCACUAGUAACUCAAGUUCAUGGUGCAUAAAUGCCUGUUGCGCGUGACAUGCCAUCUGUAGAUCUUGUCAAGGUUAUUGAAAAGAUGAAGUCAUGCAAUAUCUAUGACAAGCUACAUGUGGAGCGGAUGAAUGAGCGUUACAUUGGUGCUAGGAUGAAGAGGCUGAGAAGGAGGGUAAGUAGUGAGGUUUAUCCAGUUGAUAUACCUGUCUGUCCCAUGUUUUUGAGUUCUAUUAAGUUGAUUAGUGAAUUCUCUUCAAAUUUAGCUAUUAUAGCAUUCAAUUUCAGCUGAUUGCGUCCA